This 904-nucleotide long non-coding RNA is filed under the name Ananas comosus (pineapple). Its description in RNAcentral is "long non-coding RNA (ACOM_LNC024762)". Lineage: Eukaryota; Viridiplantae; Streptophyta; Magnoliopsida; Poales; Bromeliaceae. The record is from RNAcentral.
UAAAUUUCUCUUUAUCUGAAUGAAGGUGUUAGCUUAAAUGGGCCAGCAUCCUGCCAUGUGGCAGGAGGCCAGUUUGGGUCGAGUCACGUUUGAAAUCGCGUGAGGCUAGAUAAGCCGAGUCAUGUUCGAAGUGGCGUGAAGGCCGGGUGGGUCGAGUCACAAUUAAGACCCGCGGGCGCUGUAUCUGUACACUUUAAGUGAAUUAGUUGCGUAUUUUUAACAGCUUGAGCUUUUGGGAUUAACAGUUAGCACCAACGGGUUCGAUUCUCGCAUACUGCAAUGUGUCCAAGUGCUGGAGGAAAAAUUGUUGGCUUAAAUGGGCCAGCAUCCUGCUCUGUGGCGGGAGGCCAGGUUGGGCCAAGUCAUGUUCGAAGUGGCGUGAAGGCCGGGUGGGCUGAGUUACAAUUGACCGGGUUUGAUACCCGCAUACUGCAAUGUGUGCAGGUGCUGGAGGGAAAAUUGUUGGCUUAAAUGGGCCAGCAUCCUACUCUGUAGCGGGAGGCCAGCUUGAGCCAAGUCAUGUUCGAAAUGACGUGAAGGUCGGGUGGGCUGAGUUACAAUUGACCGGGUUCGAUACCCGCAUACUGCAAUGUGUGCAGGUGCUGGAGGAAAAAUUGUUGGCUUAAAUGGGCCAGCAUCCUGCUCUGUAGCGGGAGGCCAGGUUGGGCCGAGUCAUGUUCGAAGCGACGUGAAGGCCGGGUGGGCCGAGUCAUAAUUGAGACCUAUGAGCGUUGUAUCUGUACCCUUUAAGUGAAGUGAUUGCGUAUUUCUAACAGCUCGAGCUUUUGAGAUUAAUGGCCAGUACCAACAAUCCGACGGAAGGAACUUUUUUUUUAAAUAAAUAAACCUAGGACUUUUUUCUUUUUUUUUUUUGAAAGAAAACUUAGGACUUAGAUAAGAAAAU